RNAcentral lists this ribosomal RNA (468 nucleotides) under uncultured bacterium. RNAcentral's name for it is "partial 16S ribosomal RNA". It matches the Rfam family "Bacterial small subunit ribosomal RNA", at positions 28 to 507 of the family's 1533-position model. The record is from RNAcentral.
GACGAACGCUGGCGGCGUGCUUAACACAUGCAAGUCGAACGGACAGGCCCUGCUUUUGUUGGGUGCUCGAGUGGCGAACGGGUGAGUAACACGUGUGUAACCUGCCCCUGACUUUGGGAUAACUUCAGGAAACUGGGGCUAAUACCGGAUAGGAGCUCCUGCUGCAUGGUGGGGGUUGGAAAGUUUCGGCGGUUGGGGAUGGACUCGCGGCUUAUCAGCUUGUUGGUGGGGUAGUGACUUACCAAGGCUUUGACGGGUAGCCGGCCUGAGAGGGUGACCGGCCACAUUGGGACUGAGAUACGGCCCAGACUCCUACGGGAGGCAGCAGUGGGGAAUAUUGCACAGUGGGCGGAAGCGUGAUGCAGCAACGCCGCGUGCGGGAUGACGGCCUUCGGGUUGUAAACCGCUUUCGCCUGUGACGAAGCGUGAGUGACGGUAAUGGGUAAAGAAGCACCGGCUAACUACGUG